This 510-nucleotide ribosomal RNA is filed under the name uncultured bacterium. RNAcentral's name for it is "partial 16S ribosomal RNA". It matches the Rfam family "Bacterial small subunit ribosomal RNA", at positions 28 to 507 of the family's 1533-position model. The record is from RNAcentral.
GACGAACGCUGGCGGCGUGCUUAACGCAUGCAAGUCGAACGAAGAGCGAUGGAAGCUUGCUUCUAUCAAUCUUAGUGGCGAACGGGUGAGUAACGCGUAAUCAACCUGCCCUUCAGAGGGGGACAACAGUUGGAAACGACUGCUAAUACCGCAUACGAUCUAAUCUCGGCAUCGAGGAUAGAUGAAAGGUGGCCUCUACAUGUAAGCUAUCACUGAAGGAGGGGAUUGCGUCUGAUUAGCUAGUUGGAGGGGUAACGGCCCACCAAGGCGAUGAUCAGUAGCCGGUCUGAGAGGAUGAACGGCCACAUUGGGACUGAGACACGGCCCAGACUCCUACGGGAGGCAGCAGUGGGGAAUCUUCCGCAAUGGACGAAAGUCUGACGGAGCAACGCCGCGUGAGUGAUGACGGCCUUCGGGUUGUAAAGCUCUGUUAAUCGGGACGAAAGGCCUUCUUGCGAAUAGUGAGAAGGAUUGACGGUACCGGAAGAGAAAGCCACGGCUAACUACGUG